AUUGAACGCUGGCGGCAGGCCUAACACAUGCAAGUCGAGCGAGCGGCGGACGGGUGAGUAAUGUCUGGGAAACUGCCUGAUGGAGGGGGAUAACUACUGGAAACGGUAGCUAAUACCACAUACCAUCAGAUGUGCCCAGAUGGGCUUAGCUAGUAGGUGGGGUAACGGCUCACCUAGGCGACGAUCCCUAGCUGGUCUGAGAGGAUGACCAGCCACGCUGGAACUGAUACACGGUCCAGAGUCCUACGGGAGGCAGCGGUGGGGAAUAUUGCACAGUGGGCGCAAGCCGGAUGCAGCCCUGCCGCGUGUGUGAGGAAGGCCUUCGGGUUGUGAAGCACUUUCAUCGGGGAGGCGUUACCCGCAGGAGAAGCACCGGCUAACUCCGUGCCAGCAGCCGCGGUAAUUC
RNAcentral lists this ribosomal RNA (406 nucleotides) under uncultured bacterium. Its description in RNAcentral is "partial 16S ribosomal RNA". It matches the Rfam family "Bacterial small subunit ribosomal RNA", at positions 30 to 526 of the family's 1533-position model. The record is from RNAcentral.